UCAUCAUGUGCCGAGUUAACUCCUGUUUUUCACUGAAACCUUUUCCACACUUCACACAUGAAAUCAGGUUUUGAACCGUAUGAGUUCUCAUGUGAGCAUCAAAAACAGAUUUUAAAGCGAAACGCUUUUUACAGAUGACACAUGAGAAAGGUUUUCUUCUUUCCUGAGUUUGCUUCUCAGCUUCAGCAGCUUCCUUUAAGAGGACUUGGUUCCCGUUUGGUCCUGAUUCAGUUUGGUGUGUUUGCUCACCAACAUGAACCAACAUGCAGAGGUUCUAACUCCUCCUGGUCCAGAGUGGAUCUUCUCUCUUGGUUAAACUGCAGGGAACCUGGAGAAGAAAACAGAGAAAAAGAGUUAUUGUUAACUUUAUUGAAAUAAGUAGGAAAAAUCUUGCAUUGUUUAAAACAGAAAUCAACAUAAAA
Molecule: long non-coding RNA, 422 nt
Organism: Poecilia latipinna (sailfin molly)
Lineage: Eukaryota; Metazoa; Chordata; Actinopteri; Cyprinodontiformes; Poeciliidae
Exons: 2
Source: RefSeq, a predicted model, not a curated record